Molecule: long non-coding RNA, 422 nt
Filed under: Homo sapiens (human)
Lineage: Eukaryota; Metazoa; Chordata; Mammalia; Primates; Hominidae
Description: non-protein coding lnc-MPHOSPH8-22:1
Source: RNAcentral
UCAGGAAAGGGGAAAAUUCAGGUCAAAAUGAAACAACCUUUUAUGACCAGUAAACAAAGAUGAGAGACUUCACUUUUUAAAGAAAGACAUAUGCAAAGACAAUCUAAGAAGAAAAGAGAAAUUCCAGAUUACAUGGGAUGCUUUAUUCACAUCAGCUGGUAAAUGUCCCCAAGGUACUCAAUAAUAAAGAGAAAAAUAACUUUACAGUGGAAAAAAAUUCUCAGAGAACUAUUUAACUCAACGAAUCAAAUUAACACCAAUUAUAACAGAACAAAUUUUCAUCAUGCGCUGAUGCUCACAGAAUGACACAAUAUCACUGCUGUGAUACUGGCCCCCGCCAAAGAAGUAAAUUAUAAUUCAAAUCUAAUCAUAAAGAAACAAGUUUUAUGCAAAAAGCAAACUACAGUAAUCGCUCAUGUUGU